GGCUUGAUGGUGUAAUGGUAACAUGCUCUGUGUUGUUUCACAGCAUUUGUAUAUCGCAAAACAGACAGUUCAGAGUUCGAUUCUCUGUCAAGCCA
Mycena latifolia is the source of this 95-nucleotide non-coding RNA. Lineage: Eukaryota; Fungi; Basidiomycota; Agaricomycetes; Agaricales; Mycenaceae. The record is from the annotation of a GenBank genome assembly.